GCAACUUCAUGAAGUUCUUGGAGAUGUGGACCAUGAGCUUGUCCAUGAAAGCAGGGGCGAUGUAGAAACCGCUCAUCGUGUUGUCGAAGUCGUAUCUGCACUCGAUCAAUUAUUUAAUUUAAUUAAGAGAGAGAGAGAGAGAGAGAGAGAGAGAGUGAAACGGCGUCGUAUAGCGUACUGUUUAAGGCCCUGGCUGAUAUAGUCGUAGGAGUUGAGAACGGCGUCGUGUGUACCCAUACCGGUGGGGGCUUGGAAGAGAGAGUCGACCAUGCCCUUACCUCUGGCGAUGUCCUGCUGGUCGUCGGAGAUGUCGGUGGUCAGACCCUUCCAUUUGUCCUUGUCUGUCUGUUUCUUGCUGUCUUCGAUCGCCGCCACUACCUUAAAGCUGCUUCCGCCGGAGGCGUAUUUGGUUUGGUGGGUGUUCACCUUCUUCAAGCUGCUGCCCAAGAACGAUGAGCUCGGUACUCCCACUCCCGAUCCACUCAAGUUCAACUGCAUACAUACAUACAUAUACAUAUCAUCAGCAUGUAAAUUAAUGAUGAAAAAUAUGUAAUGAUCUCGUUAUUAUUUAUUAUAUAUACCGGGACGCGGUUGACAGCUGCGGCGGUGGAGACGGCGGCG
Molecule: long non-coding RNA, 621 nt
Filed under: Erythranthe guttata (spotted monkey flower)
Lineage: Eukaryota; Viridiplantae; Streptophyta; Magnoliopsida; Lamiales; Phrymaceae
Description: long non-coding RNA (EGUT_LNC003617)
Source: RNAcentral